This 2236-nucleotide long non-coding RNA is filed under the name Fragaria vesca (wild strawberry). Its description in RNAcentral is "long non-coding RNA (FVES_LNC000217)". Lineage: Eukaryota; Viridiplantae; Streptophyta; Magnoliopsida; Rosales; Rosaceae. The record is from RNAcentral.
UCGAGAUGGCUAUGUGCUUUAAUAGUUUUUGCUUCCUCUUUUAUCUAUCUAGAUUUCAUUUUCAGUUUUUCAAUUUCCCCCAAAUCAAAAACCCUAAACCCGAUUAAUCCAAUAUCUGUGUGUUAGCGUCGAAUCUAUGGCCAUUCUCUGCUAUCGAUGCCAUCCUCUGAAAUCGAAAAUCUCCAGAUCGGGAUUUGCGAUGGCUUCCUCUGUUCGUAUUUGUUCCCAUAUCUGGUUCCCGAUCUGAGACUCUUUCUCAGACGCGGUGUCGCGGUUGCAGUCGCUCUCUUGGGUUCAGUUCGCAAGCCUAGCCGCUGCCACCAGUGGCCUCUUCGGGUGCCGUCGGAGGUGUGGAUGUUAGCGACCGAACCUAUCCGGUAGUGCAUGAUUGGGUAAUCUCUAGCCUCUAUUCUUCUCUGAGCAUUUUGUGAUUUGGCUGAAUGUUUUUUGGGAGAUGGGGACACAGAAGGUGAUUGAUUUGAAGGUGAAUAUAUUGUGAUAUGAGAUGGGUAUGAUGAGGUUGAGUAUUCUGAGCUUUUGUUUUGAUGGUGAUAUUUGGCUAUCUCUCAGAUGCAGUAGGAGUUGGUAAUUCCUUUCCGAUUCAGUUUCCUUUCUCACUUGAAUUAUGGAAUCUUUUUAUGGUCUCAGAUGUUGUGCUCCGAUUUUCAGUUUUCCAGCUUUUUAUUUUUAUCGAAGUUGAAGUUGAAGUUGAAGUUUCAGAUUGAAGAAUUUUCUUUUUCUUUUUGGACUGGUGAUUGUGGCAUGAUAAUUUUGGAUUAUGGAUUGGUUCUCUGGCUCUAGCGUGCAGUUUAUAAAUGAAUUCGGUGAAUUAGUUUCUGGUUCCUCUGUUAUUUGGAAGUUGUUGCAUUCAAUUAUGAUUUGCCUCAUUUGAUUCCGCAGUAGUCCAUUCUGGUUAGAUGCCAUCUCUGCCUAUUCACAUUACACUGCUACGUGAAGAAAAUUUUGGGGUUAUAAGGUUGAUUUGUUGUGGUUUGGCCCGAUAUGCUCAUAUGCUGCUUGAAUAUAUUCAAUUGCCCACAGUCUUGUCCAUUUUUAUUUCUUUUUAGCCUAUCUUUCCUUUCUUAUUCUCUACCAUUUCCACUGAAACAAAAUUUUGUACAAUUACCAAUGAAAUUUUUACCAAAUCUGGUCCUGUUUUCCUGUAAGCUUCACUUUCACUUUGUUUGUACAAUUAUAUUUCAAACAACUUUGUACAAUUACCAGUGGCAUUUGGAUUCCUGUUCAAUUUCAGUCUUUGCUUCUAUUCAAUUACGAUACAGAAAGAAACAUCAAGUCCAAAAUCUGUUCACUUACUUUCUAAACCAAAUUUUGAAAAAGAGCACUACCAUUCGCUUUUGCCUUCUGCUUUUUUGUCUUCCUUGUCUUUCCUUUAUAAUCUUCUGGGCUAAGGCUGUGGGCACCUCAUUAAAAGUGAGACCAUGCAAAUGCAUAUGUAGCAGAAUGGUAGGUAAUAUGCAGUGUGUAGUGGAUGCAGCCUUUUAGAUUUUUCAGUAUGCAAAGUCAGAUAUCAACAAACUUUUCAAGUUCAAGAAGAAUUUUUAGUUUUUCCUCAUAUUAUGGUUUGUUUGCUGCACUGCUGCCCUUGCUGUCCUCCUUUAUGCUGCCUCAUUUGUUGCCGCAACCAACAAGCCAACAACAUAUUAGAGAUGCUUGGUUAUUGGCUUCUUAACUGAUAUUGCAUACAGUAUCUUGAGCAUUGAAGUAGACCCUGUUCUGAUGCAUUUGAGACUUAUAUAUCUUGAUCCAGCCAUUAUACUUGGGUGCUUCUAGUGUUAACACAUCUGCUGCAAGUCAAGAAGGAUAAUAGUCUUAUGAUAUCAAGUUGUUGGGUUCUUGAAUUGGGUGUUAUCUUGAAAUAGGCUAUAACUGUGUAUUUCUCCAACCAUUAUGCUUGUUCCCAAGCAUAUGGUUGGGGGGGUGUUAACUAUAUGUUAGGUUUAUAACAAUUGGGUCGCAAGGGUAUUUAUGUCAUUUUAUAUUUGUAGCUCUAUAUGUAAUUGUUGUAACCUCAUUCUCCAUCAAUGAGAAGAAAAACACAAUGUAGCCUCCAUAGCCUUUUUCCUCUCUUUUCAGCUUUUAUAUUCAAUAAAUCCAUGAUUUUUAGCAUUUCUAAACAUCUUAGAGCAAGCUGUGCUAUCUGUAAUGCUUCCUCGGAAGAAUAUUGGCCCUCCAUCUGCUCAUCCAUGAUGGUUUCCAACUCUAUUUCAUCACACAG